AAUUGAGCUUCCUUGGUCAGCAACAUUUCGCAUGUAUUGUCACAACCCAUUACUGUGAACCGAGCACAUCUUGUGUGACUCCAAUGAGAGAGAAGCCCUGAAAACUUGUGCCUGGGUCUCUCUGGGAGUUGGUCCUGCACACCAUUUAUUUUUGCUGAUUUUGCUCCAUAUCUUUUUGUUGUAAUAAGUCAAUCGUAGCCAUGAAUACAACCACAUACUGAGUCUCGGGAGUCCUCCUAGCAAAUCACUGGGCUUGGGACUGGUAUUGAGGACCAUGACACACACACACAUACAUGACCUUUACCAUGGGAACAAUCCAGCUCACUGAUGUCCCUAUCUCACCACCAUGUACCCUGAGGUCUAUUAGAUGGAAGUGCCAGUUAGAAAUGCUUGGGGUGCAAGUAACCACACUGUCAAAUAACUGGACUGAACAAACGGGAGAUUAUUUCCCUCCAACAAGACUGUUGGUGCGAGUUCAGCAGCUCAGCAACGCUGGGCCAAGCUGGAGUCUCUACCACGCUGUGCACUGACCCUAAGGUCCCAAGAUGUCAGUCGCAGUUCCAGUCAACGCAUAUGUGGCAACAAAUGGAGCUGAGAAGGAAGGGAGGGGCCGGAGCAAGAGCCUCUUUGCUGCUUCAGGUAACUUUGACAUUUUCUGGUGACGCAGGCCACUGAUAAGUGAUUUUGGUUAUUUACCCCCAUCGAUACUCAAAGCUUUUUCUCCUCUCUUGGGGCUCCCAUCAAAUACUUAACUUCCGGUUGCUCCUGCACCAGCUUGGGGCUCCAGGACUCAACACCUCUGCUCCCUGCUUUCAAUGAACAACACAAUGCACAGAAGGGUUGGGAAUAUCGCCCCCUGAGGAGGCAGCAGAGUCCUGCAGCCUAACAUAGUGAACCCCCUGGGGGUCCGACCCAACAUUCCCCCGCCAACUCCUCCACUGUCACUACCCUGGUGCAAGUCCCCAUCACUGCGCUCAGAGGGGUCUCCUGCUGGGUCCCCUGCUUCUACCCCCACCCCCAAUCUGUUCCCUUCAGCAGCCAGAGGGAGCCUCUAUGACCAAGUCAGAUCAUGUUCCUCCUCUGCUUGACACCUUCUGGUCACCCCCACUCAGAAAAAAAGCCAAAGUCCUAACUGUGGCCCAUGAAGCAUCUGGCCUGUCUGACCUCAUCUACUGUCACACUCUGGUCCAGCAAGACUCUGGCAUACACAAUGAUCCUUCUGGAGCGCUCCAGCCUCAGUGCCUUUAGGCUGGCUUUCUCUCUGCCUGGAAUGUUCUCCCCCUACACUAUGACUCCCACUCACUUCAUUCAGGUCUUUAAAUGUCAUCCUGAGCCAGGCAUGGUGGUUCAUGCCUGUAAUCCCAGCACUUUGGGAGGCUGAGGCGAGUGGAUCGCUUGAGCCCAGGAGUUCGAGACCAGCCUGAGCAACAUGGCGAGACCCCGUCUCUACUAAAAAUACAAAAAUUACCCGAGUGUGGUGGCGCACACCUGUAGUCCCAGCUACUUGGGAGGCUUAAGUGAGGAUCACUUGAGCCCUGGAGGUUGAGGCUGCAGUGAGCUAUGGUCAUGCCACUGCAUUCCAACCUG
This 1587-nucleotide long non-coding RNA is filed under the name Pan troglodytes (chimpanzee). Its description in RNAcentral is "long non-coding RNA NONPTRT018460". The stretch from base 1333 to 1449 matches the Rfam family "Metazoan signal recognition particle RNA". Lineage: Eukaryota; Metazoa; Chordata; Mammalia; Primates; Hominidae. The record is from RNAcentral.